ACCCGCACAAGCGGUGGAUGAUGUGGUUUAAUUCGAUGCAACGACGAAAACCUUACCUACCCUUGACAUGUCAAGAAUUUUGCAGAGAUGUGAAAGUGCUCGAAAGAGAACUUGAACACAGGUGCUGCAUGGCCGUCGUCAGCUCGUGUCGUGAGAUGUUGGGUUAAGUCCCGCAACGAGCGCAACCCUUGUCAUUAGUUGCUACCGCAAGGAGCACUCUAAUGAGACUGCCGGUGACAAACCGGAGGAAGGUGGGGAUGACGUCAGGUCCUCAUGGCCCUUAUGGGUAGGGCUACACACGUCAUACAAUGGCCGGUACAGAGGGCUGCCAACCCGCGAGGGGGAACCAAUCCCAGAAAACCGGUCGUAGUCCGGAUCGUAGUCUGCAACUCGACUGCGUGAAGUCGGAAUCGCUAGUAAUCGCGGAUCAGCUUGCCGCGGUGAAUACGUUCCCGGGUCUU
Molecule: ribosomal RNA, 461 nt
Filed under: uncultured Aquabacterium sp.
Lineage: Bacteria; Pseudomonadati; Pseudomonadota; Betaproteobacteria; Burkholderiales; Sphaerotilaceae
Description: bacterial SSU rRNA
Rfam family: Bacterial small subunit ribosomal RNA
Source: RNAcentral